UUAAAGUCAAAUCAACCCAUCGAAUCAUGGGCAUCAGUUUGUGUGAGGAAAAGUGGUGAUACUAAGUAAAACAUUAAGGGAUUCUAUCUCGAAUAAAAAACCCGGGAAUAGCAGCAAUGCAGCAUAUUUAAAAACUAUAAGAGAGUUAAAAAACUGAUAAAUUAUUACAGUCAGUUCUGUGUAUAAACACAGAACUGACUUUUUGAGUAUAUAUCCACCUGUGUUUUUUAAUUAUCGUUUCAAAAUGUGAAAAAGGUUAUUUAACUUAAGGUGUAUUUGCAAGUGUGCUUGUGUGUUUGAAGGUUAGGGUGCAUUUCACUGACUGCUUGGUGACUUCAUCAACAUGGAUCUGGGAUUCAAAAACAAAAACAAAGAGUCAAUUAUUAUUUUUUUAAUUCAUUUAGGAAAAAUAACACCAAGAACAGCAACUUUUUAAGAGUGAAUUGGGCAUUAAAAAAAGCAAUAACAAUUUUAGUCAUGUUUAUCACUUAUAUAACACUUUAAGAAAUAUGGAAAUUUACAGCUCUAUAAUGCAAAACUAAUAAUAGCCAAUCAAAUGCUAGUUGUUUAGUCGAGAGCUAGUGCACAUAUGUUUAAUCAUUUAACAACCCUCCCUUUUGAAAAAAAAAAAAAAGAAAAAAGAAAAAAGCAAGGUCAAAAAUAAAUUACAUCCAUUAUUUGCAGCAGAUCUCCCCACAGCAUUUGGAGCGAAAACUGUUUUGAAUUUCAAUUGGCUUCCAAGUGGCAAAAGCCCUCAGCUAAUACAUCAAAGAAAAAUUGGUGUCAACUAAUCGGUUUAGGACACAGAUUUAGAAUGGUUAAAAAUCCCAUGAAUACUUCAAGCAUUUUUCUGUAUACCACUAAAGGCUUGGGAGCAGUACAGCUGACCUUGUGCGCUCCAGAAACCUGUCUGCCACUCGACAUUAACUGACUGUUUAACGCACCCAGCCACGCAAUUAGUCCGCCACAACGCAUAAUGUUGUGUAAUAAUAGCUUCUAUAUCCAAUUUAGAUUACGCUUGCUCCCUC
Long non-coding RNA from Astatotilapia calliptera (eastern happy), 1028 nucleotides. NCBI's taxonomy places the organism in Eukaryota, Metazoa, Chordata, Actinopteri, Cichliformes, Cichlidae. The record is from Ensembl.